AGCACGGGAGCAAUCCUGGUGGCGAGUGGCGAACGGGUGAGUAAUGUAUCGGAACGUACCUUUCAGUGGGGGAUAACGUAGCGAAAGUUACGCUAAUACCGCAUAUUCUGUGAGCAGGAAAGCAGGGGAUCGCAAGACCUUGCGCUGAUUGAGCGGCCGAUAUCAGAUUAGCUAGUUGGUGAGGUAAAGGCUCACCAAGGCGACGAUCUGUAGCGGGUCUGAGAGGAUGAUCCGCCACACUGGAACUGAGACACGGUCCAGACUCCUACGGGAGGCAGCAGUGGGGAAUUUUGGACAAUGGGGGCAACCCUGAUCCAGCCAUGCCGCGUGAGUGAAGAAGGCCUUCGGGUUGUAAAGCUCUUUCAGCCGGGAAGAAAUCACAUGGGUUAAUACCCUGUGUGGAUGACGGUACCGGAAUAAGAAGCACCGGCUAACUACGUGCCAGCAGCCGCGGUAAUACGUAGGGUGCGAGCGUUAAUCGGAAUUACUGGGCGUAAAGCGUGCGCAGGCGGUUUGUUAAGAUAGGCGCGAAAUCCCCGGGCUCAACCUGGGAACUGCGUUUAUGACUGGCAGGCUAGAGUAUGGCAGAGGGGGGUGGAAUUCCACGUGUAGCAGUGAAAUGCGUAGAGAUGUGGAGGAACACCGAUGGCGAAGGCAGCCCCCUGGGCCAAUACUGACGCUCAUGCACGAAAGCGUGGGUAGCAAACAGGAUUAGAUACCCUGGUAGUCCACGCCCUAAACGAUGUCAACUAGGUGUUGGGUGGGUAAAACCAUUUAGUACCGGAGCUAACGCGU
RNAcentral lists this ribosomal RNA (795 nucleotides) under uncultured bacterium. RNAcentral's name for it is "bacterial SSU rRNA". It matches the Rfam family "Bacterial small subunit ribosomal RNA", at positions 71 to 860 of the family's 1533-position model. The record is from RNAcentral.